This is a small nuclear RNA of Artibeus jamaicensis (Jamaican fruit-eating bat), 108 nucleotides long. The record is from RefSeq and is a predicted model, not a curated record. Lineage: Eukaryota; Metazoa; Chordata; Mammalia; Chiroptera; Phyllostomidae.
GUGCUCACUUUGGCAACACAAAUAUUAAAUUUGGAAUGAUACAGGGCAGAUUAGUCAUAGCCCCUGAGCAAGGAUGACAUGUAAACUAGUGAAGCAUUCCUUAUUUUU